UACGGAGGGAGCUAGCGUUGUUCGGAAUUACUGGGCGUAAAGCGCGUGUAGGCGGCUCGAUAAGUCUGCUGUGAAAGUCCAGGGCUCAACCCUGGAAUGCCGGUGGAAACUGUCGAGCUAGAGUCCGGAAGAGGCGAGUGGAAUUCCUGGCGUAGCGGUGAAAUGCGCAGAUAUCAGGAGGAACACCAAUGGCGAAGGCAGCUCGCUGGGACGGUACUGACGCUGAGACGCGAAAGCGUGGGGAGCAAACAGG
RNAcentral lists this ribosomal RNA (253 nucleotides) under uncultured bacterium. RNAcentral describes it as "partial 16S ribosomal RNA". It matches the Rfam family "Bacterial small subunit ribosomal RNA", at positions 524 to 776 of the family's 1533-position model. The record is from RNAcentral.